UCUUAUCAAGAGCGGCGGAGGGACCUGCCCUGUGAAGCCCGACAACCUGCUGCGGCAAGGUGUCAAAUCAGCGGCCAUUUUUGGUGGCCGAAGAUGAG
Molecule: non-coding RNA, 98 nt
Filed under: human gut metagenome
Description: SAM riboswitch (S box leader)
Rfam family: SAM riboswitch aptamer (S box leader)
About the family: The SAM riboswitch is found upstream of a number of genes which code for proteins involved in methionine or cysteine biosynthesis in Gram-positive bacteria. The SAM riboswitch acts at the level of transcription termination control.
Source: RNAcentral